AUUGAACGCUGGCGGCAUGCCUUACACAUGCAAGUCGAACGGCAGCACGGGGGCAACCCUGGUGGCGAGUGGCGAACGGGUGAGUAAUACAUCGGAACGUGCCCAGUAGUGGGGGAUAGCUCGGCGAAAGCCGGAUUAAUACCGCAUACGACCUACGGGUGAAAGCGGGGGAUCGCAAGACCUCGCGCUAUUGGAGCGGC
RNAcentral lists this ribosomal RNA (200 nucleotides) under uncultured bacterium. Its description in RNAcentral is "partial 16S ribosomal RNA". It matches the Rfam family "Bacterial small subunit ribosomal RNA", at positions 30 to 230 of the family's 1533-position model. The record is from RNAcentral.